RNAcentral lists this ribosomal RNA (497 nucleotides) under uncultured bacterium. RNAcentral describes it as "partial 16S ribosomal RNA". It matches the Rfam family "Bacterial small subunit ribosomal RNA", at positions 28 to 507 of the family's 1533-position model. The record is from RNAcentral.
GAUGAACGCUGGCGGCGUGCCUAAUACAUGCAAGUCGAGCGAACGGACGAGAAGCUUGCUUCUCUGAUGUUAGCGGCGGACGGGUGAGUAACACGUGGAUAACCUACCUAUAAGACUGGGAUAACUUCGGGAAACCGGAGCUAAUACCGGAUAAUAUUUUGAACCGCAUGGUUCAAAAGUGAAAGACGGUCUUGCUGUCACUUAUAGAUGGAUCCGCGCUGCAUUAGCUAGUUGGUAAGGUAACGGCUUACCAAGGCAACGAUGCAUAGCCGACCUGAGAGGGUGAUCGGCCACACUGGAGCUGAGACACGGUCCAGACUCCUACGGGAGGCCGCAGUAGGGAAUCUUCCGCAAUGGGCGAAAGCCUGACGGAGCAACGCCGCGUGAGUGAUGAAGGUCUUCGGAUCGUAAAACUCUGUUAUUAGGGAAGAACAUAUGUGUAAGUAACUGUGCACAUCUUGACGGUACCUAAUCAGAAAGCCACGGCUAACUACGUG